Molecule: ribosomal RNA, 466 nt
Filed under: uncultured bacterium
Lineage: Bacteria
Description: bacterial SSU rRNA
Rfam family: Bacterial small subunit ribosomal RNA
Source: RNAcentral
ACCCCAGACUCCUACGGGAGGCAGCAGUGAGGAAUAUUGGUCAAUGGCCGAGAGGCUGAACCAGCCAAGUCGCGUGAGGGAAGAAUGUCCUAUGGAUUGUAAACCUCUUUUGUCAGGGAGCAAAGUCACCCACGUGUGGGUGUUGGAGAGUACCUGAAGAAAAAGCAUCGGCUAACUCCGUGCCAGCAGCCGCGGUAAUACGGAGGAUGCGAGCGUUAUCCGGAUUUAUUGGGUUUAAAGGGUGCGUAGGCGGGCUGUUAAGUCGGCGGUCAAAUGGCGGGGCUCAACCCCGCCCUGCCGUUGAAACUGGCGGCCUCGAGUGGGCGAGAAGUAUGCGGAAUGCGUGGUGUAGCGGUGAAAUGCAUAGAUAUCACGCAGAACUCCGAUUGCGAAGGCAGCAUGCCGGCUCCACACUGACGCUGAGGCACGAAAGCGUGGGUAUCGAACAGGAUUAGAUACCCGAGUA